GGAGAGGUGGCAGAGUGGUCGAUUGCACCGGUCUUGAAAACCGGCAGGGGUGAAAGCCCCUCGAGGGUUCGAAUCCCUCCCUCUCCGCCA
This 90-nucleotide transfer RNA is filed under the name Thioalkalivibrio versutus. Its description in RNAcentral is "tRNA-Ser". It matches the Rfam family "tRNA". Rfam says of the family: Transfer RNA (tRNA) molecules are approximately 80 nucleotides in length. The record is from RNAcentral. RNAcentral also lists the same sequence under 1 other name. Lineage: Bacteria; Pseudomonadati; Pseudomonadota; Gammaproteobacteria; Chromatiales; Ectothiorhodospiraceae.